AACGAACGCUGGCGGCGCGCCUAAUACAUGCAAGUCGAGCGAGAAGGUGUAGCAAUACACUCGUAAAGCGGCGAACGGGUGAGGAAUACAUGGGUAAUCUACCAUCGAGUGGGGAAUAACCAGCCGAAAGGUUGGCUAAUACCGCGUACGCCUCCGGAUCUUCGGGUUCGGAGGGAAAGCCACACUGUGAGUGCGGCGCUCUUUGAUGAGCUCAUGUCCUAUCAGCUUGUUGGUAGGGUAACGGCCUACCAAGGCUUUGACGGGUAGCUGGUCUGAGAGGACGAUCAGCCACACUGGCACUGCGACACGGGCCAGACUCCUACGGGAGGCAGCAGUAAGGAAUAUUGCGCAAUGGGCGAAAGCCUGACGCAGCGACGCCGCGUGGGGGAUGAAGGUCUUCGGAUUGUAAACCCCUUUCGGGAGGGAAGAUGGAGCGAGCAAUCGUUCGGACGGUACCUCCAGAAGCAGCCACGGCCAACUUCGUGCCAGCAGCCG
RNAcentral lists this ribosomal RNA (495 nucleotides) under uncultured bacterium. Its description in RNAcentral is "bacterial SSU rRNA". It matches the Rfam family "Bacterial small subunit ribosomal RNA", at positions 29 to 517 of the family's 1533-position model. The record is from RNAcentral.